UUUGAAUGUCAGCAGGUGUGUUGACUUGAGGAUGGAUGGUCUCCUGGUGGAUCUCCUCCUAGACCUGGGCUAGAGCAUUAGUGGUCCCACUGGUGGACAUUGGGCCAUAAUGUCAGCAUCAGUACAUCCAGCUGCCUCAGGUUCUGGUUCUUCUUGAACAAAGCAGCCGAUACCACCCUGUUGCUGGGUUGUUGCCCUCCUCUGUCCCUCUAGCUCUCCUGGCAUCGUGGCCUGACUCCUGCUGGGAGACUCAGCAGAAACAACAAGCGGAGGAGUUGGUCUUCAAACAUUCCCUAAUGCAGUUCGAGGAUAAAUCGCCUAUCCAGAAAACUCUGAC
RNAcentral lists this long non-coding RNA (337 nucleotides) under Takifugu rubripes (torafugu). RNAcentral's name for it is "lncRNA (ENSTRUG00000029379.1)". The record is from RNAcentral. Lineage: Eukaryota; Metazoa; Chordata; Actinopteri; Tetraodontiformes; Tetraodontidae.